RNAcentral lists this ribosomal RNA (889 nucleotides) under uncultured archaeon. RNAcentral's name for it is "bacterial SSU rRNA". It matches the Rfam family "Archaeal small subunit ribosomal RNA", at positions 29 to 926 of the family's 1478-position model. The record is from RNAcentral.
GCUUUCGGAAUGACUAAGCCAUGCGAGUCAUUGUAGCAAUACAAGGCAGACGGCUCAGUAACGCGUAGUCAACCUAACCUAUGGACGGGAAUAACCUCGGGAAACUGAGAAUAAUGCCCGAUAGAACACUAUACCUGGAAUGGUUUGUGUUCCAAAUGAUUUAUCGCCGUAGGAUGGGACUGCGGCCUAUCAGUUUGUUGGUGAGGUAAUGGCCCACCAAGACUAUUACAGGUACGGGCUCUGAGAGGAGUAGCCCGGAGAUGGGUACUGAGACACGGACCCAGGCCCUAUGGGGCGCAGCAGGCGAGAAAACUUUGCAAUGUGCGAAAGCACGACAAGGUUAAUCCGAGUGGUUUCUGCUAAAGGAACCUUUUGUCAGUCCUAGAAACACUGACGAAUAAGGGGUGGGCAAGUUCUGGUGUCAGCCGCCGCGGUAAAACCAGCACCUCAAGUGGUCAGGAUGAUUAUUGGGCCUAAAGCAUCCGUAGCCGGCUCUGUAAGUUUUCGGUUAAAUCUGUACGCUCAACGUACAGGCUGCCGGGAAUACUGCAGAGCUAGGGAGUGGGAGAGGUAGACGGUACUCGGUAGGAAGGGGUAAAAUCCUUUGAUCUAUUGAUGACCACCUGUGGCGAAGGCGGUCUACCAGAACACGUCCGACGGUGAGGGAUGAAAGCUGGGGGAGCAAACCGGAUUAGAUACCCGGGUAGUCCCAGCUGUAAACUAUGCAAACUCAGUGAUGCAUUGGCUUGUGGCCAAUGCAGUGCUGCAGGGAAGCCGUUAAGUUUGCCGCCUGGGAAGUACGUACGCAAGUAUGAAACUUAAAGGAAUUGGCGGGGGAGCACCACAAGGGGUGAAGCCUGCGGUUCAAUUGGAGUCAACGCCGGGAAUC